RNAcentral lists this ribosomal RNA (484 nucleotides) under uncultured bacterium. Its description in RNAcentral is "partial 16S ribosomal RNA". It matches the Rfam family "Bacterial small subunit ribosomal RNA", at positions 30 to 507 of the family's 1533-position model. The record is from RNAcentral.
AUUGAACGCUGGCGGCAGGCCUAACACAUGCAAGUCGAGCGGAUGAAGGGAGCUUGCUCCCGGAUUCAGCGGCGGACGGGUGAGUAAUGCCUAGGAAUCUGCCUGGUAGUGGGGGAUAACGUCCGGAAACGGGCGCUAAUACCGCAUACGUCCUGAGGGAGAAAGUGGGGGAUCUUCGGACCUCACGCUAUCAGAUGAGCCUAGGUCGGAUUAGCUAGUUGGUGGGGUAAAGGCCUACCAAGGCGACGAUCCGUAACUGGUCUGAGAGGAUGAUCAGUCACACUGGAACUGAGACACGGUCCAGACUCCUACGGGAGGCAGCAGUGGGGAAUAUUGGACAAUGGGCGAAAGCCUGAUCCAGCCAUGCCGCGUGUGUGAAGAAGGUCUUCGGAUUGUAAAGCACUUUAAGUUGGGAGGAAGGGCAGUAAGUUAAUACCUUGCUGUUUUGACGUUACCAACAGAAUAAGCACCGGCUAGCUUCGUG